AUGGAUGAUGCCGGCAUGGUGUUCCUUCUCGAUCCUGUUUACAGGCCAUCCUUUGCCAGGUUCCCACUGCGAGAGGAGUUGGCCGACAGCCAUGAGCACCUACAUCCGGUUUCUCUGGUCUUGCUGGCGAACAGCAGUGCCGGAGUUGCCGUUCCUGAGAACUCAAGUGCUGGUUCUGGCUGCGGUCAGCAGGUUGGCGACGACGGCACUAAUACGGCACAAGCUGGAGUGCGCCGUCGCCCGGAUACAUCCCCGACGAGGUCGGGCAGAGUCUAUCACUCUAUCCACAGGCCCCUGGGUGGAGAAAAAGGGCGGAGCUGUGAGGAGAACAAAUUUGGCGAUAGAGCGGCAUGCAAGUAA
Molecule: ribosomal RNA, 360 nt
Filed under: Triticum aestivum (bread wheat)
Lineage: Eukaryota; Viridiplantae; Streptophyta; Magnoliopsida; Poales; Poaceae
Description: partial small subunit ribosomal RNA
Source: RNAcentral